GACGAACGCUGGCGGCGUGCUUAACACAUGCAAGUCGAACGGUAAGGCCCUGCUUUUGUGGGGUGCUCGAGUGGCGAACGGGUGAGUAACACGUGAGUAACCUGCCCUUGACUUUGGGAUAACUUCAGGAAACUGGGGCUAAUACCGGAUAGGAGCUCCUGCUGCAUGGUGGGGGUUGGAAAGUUUCGGCGGUUGGGGAUGGACUCGCGGCUUAUCAGCUUGUUGGUGGGGUAGUGGCUUACCAAGGCUUUGACGGGUAGCCGGCCUGAGAGGGUGAACGGCCACAUUGGGACUGAGAUACGGCCCAGACUCCUACGGGAGGCAGCAGUGGGGAAUAUUGCACAAUGGGCGGAAGCCUGAUGCAGCAACGCCGCGUGCGGGAUGACGGCCUUCGGGUUGUAAACCGCUUUCGCCUGUGACGAAGCGUGAGUGACGGUAAUGGGUAAAGAAGCACCGGCUAACUACGUG
Molecule: ribosomal RNA, 468 nt
Filed under: uncultured bacterium
Lineage: Bacteria
Description: partial 16S ribosomal RNA
Rfam family: Bacterial small subunit ribosomal RNA
Source: RNAcentral